AUGUGCAUCCCCAAGGAAAGAGGGGGUAAGGGCUUUCGCGACAUUCAUAGCUUUAACUUUGCGCUCCUACAAAAUGUCUGGAGACUUAUUGAGCAUCAUGACUCUUUGUGCGCAAGGUUGCUCCGAUCUAAAUACUACCCAACGAGAGAGUUGCUAAACUGCGGCCUGAAGAAGGGGGCCUCCUUUGUAUGGCAGAGCAUAUGGGCAGGAGCCCAAACUUUUAAGCAAGGUUGUAUUUGGAGGGUUGGUAACAGCUUAAAGUUAAAUAUAUGGGAGGACUGCUGGAUUCCUAAUAGUUCCUCCAGGAAAAUUGUGAUGCCUCGAGGAAAUAGAGUUCUUGCUCGUGUCAAUGAACUUAUUGACCCAACGUCCGGGGAGUGGGAUGAACAGCUCAUCAGAGAUAACUUCUGGCCCAUUGACGCUGAUCGGAUAUUAUAG
This 438-nucleotide ribosomal RNA is filed under the name Triticum aestivum (bread wheat). RNAcentral's name for it is "partial small subunit ribosomal RNA". Lineage: Eukaryota; Viridiplantae; Streptophyta; Magnoliopsida; Poales; Poaceae. The record is from RNAcentral.